GAUCAAGUCCAAACCUGAGAGUCUCGACAGCAGCUUGUUGUAGGCCAUAGCGUAAUGCUCAUUCUUACUAUCCGCCCCACUGCCUAACAUCAUUCUGGUUAUGAUUUUUGCAGUCCAAACUGGUGUCGGCGAAGUUCUGAUCUUUUACAUUUUCAAGUAAAAUGGAACAAACUCUGAACCUUGAAUGUACAUGCCUAACCUCCCAAAGUAGUGCGUUGCAAAAUUGACAAACUGGUGUCUGGGAAGUUCUGAUCUUUUACAUUUUCAAGUAAAAAGGAACAAACUCUGAACCUUGAAUGGACAUGCCUAACCUCCCAAAGUAGUGCGUUGCAAAAUUGUGGGGUGAUAUACAGAGGCUUGGACUUGGUUUUGCUAGCAGGAAAUUCUAGCUGAUCAAUUUGUAAUCUAGUUCAGAGAACAUGUCCAUCGUGUUACAAGUAAUGACAAGUGCAGAAACUAAUUAAAGGUUCUUUUUUAUACUAGUUUUUUUUUUAAAUAUUUGCCAUUUAUUUUGAAAGGUUUUGUUUUGAUGCUUAUAGACAAUAGUUUUAGUAGUUUUUCUGCAUUGGCGGAUGCUACAAUAUUAUCUUGUGUUCAUUCAACUAUUACAGAAACAUAUCUUAUUUUAUCCUCCCUUAUACUUUUGGGCAAUUCA
This 655-nucleotide long non-coding RNA is filed under the name Nicotiana benthamiana. Its description in RNAcentral is "long non-coding RNA (NBEN_LNC026080)". The record is from RNAcentral. Lineage: Eukaryota; Viridiplantae; Streptophyta; Magnoliopsida; Solanales; Solanaceae.